RNAcentral lists this ribosomal RNA (870 nucleotides) under uncultured bacterium. RNAcentral's name for it is "bacterial SSU rRNA". It matches the Rfam family "Bacterial small subunit ribosomal RNA", at positions 66 to 931 of the family's 1533-position model. The record is from RNAcentral.
GCGGUAGAGAGAAGCUUGCUUCUCUUGAGAGCGGCGGACGGGUGAGUAAUGCCUAGGAAUCUGCCUGGUAGUGGGGGAUAACGUUCGGAAACGGACGCUAAUACCGCAUACGUCCUACGGGAGAAAGCAGGGGACCUUCGGGCCUUGCGCUAUCAGAUGAGCCUAGGUCGGAUUAGCUAGUUGGUGAGGUAAUGGCUCACCAAGGCGACGAUCCGUAACUGGUCUGAGAGGAUGAUCAGUCACACUGGAACUGAGACACGGUCCAGACUCCUACGGGAGGCAGCAGUGGGGAAUAUUGGACAAUGGGCGAAAGCCUGAUCCAGCCAUGCCGCGUGUGUGAAGAAGGUCUUCGGAUUGUAAAGCACUUUAAGUUGGGAGGAAGGGUUGUAGAUUAAUACUCUGCAAUUUUGACGUUACCGACAGAAUAAGCACCGGCUAACUCUGUGCCAGCAGCCGCGGUAAUACAGAGGGUGCAAGCGUUAAUCGGAAUUACUGGGCGUAAAGCGCGCGUAGGUGGUUUGUUAAGUUGGAUGUGAAAUGCCCGGGCUCAACCUGGGAACUGCAUUCAAAACUGACUGACUAGAGUAUGGUAGAGGGUGGUGGAAUUUCCUGUGUAGCGGUGAAAUGCGUAGAUAUAGGAAGGAACACCAGUGGCGAAGGCGACCACCUGGACUAAUACUGACACUGAGGUGCGAAAGCGUGGGGAGCAAACAGGAUUAGAUACCCUGGUAGUCCACGCCGUAAACGAUGUCAACUAGCCGUUGGAAGCCUUGAGCUUUUAGUGGCGCAGCUAACGCAUUAAGUUGACCGCCUGGGGGGUACGGCCGCAAGGUUAAAACUCAAAUGAAUUGACGGGGGCCCGCACAAGCG